UACGUAGGGUGCAGGCGUUAAUCGGAAUUACUGGGCGUAAAGCGUGCGCAGGCGGUUUCUUAAGUCAGAUGUGAAAUCCCCGGGCUCAACCUGGGAACUGCAUUUGUGACUGCAUGGCUAGAGUACGGUAGAGGGGGAUGGAAUUCCGCGUGUAGCAGUGAAAUGCGUAGAUAUGCGGAGGAACACCGAUGGCGAAGGCAAUCCCCUGGACCUGUACUGACGCUCAUGCACGAAAGCGUGGGGAGCAAACAGG
RNAcentral lists this ribosomal RNA (253 nucleotides) under uncultured bacterium. Its description in RNAcentral is "partial 16S ribosomal RNA". It matches the Rfam family "Bacterial small subunit ribosomal RNA", at positions 524 to 776 of the family's 1533-position model. The record is from RNAcentral.